GAUAUCUUUGCAAAGAUGAGAUUCACACAACCUCCUCAGUCGUGUUAAAUCAUACCGAUCAGCUGCUGAUAACAAUUUUGCUGUCAGAGUGUCAGAUAUACAGGGGGUAGUAGAAGUUCUAGUUGCCUCUAGCUCUUCUUCUACAAGAGCAUCUUUGUAUAUGAAGUGCAGCAUAGCUUUGAAGACCUUAGGUUCCAUAUCAUUGACCACAAUUUCCUGCGCAUCGCCUUCAUGUCCACACAAGAAUUCAGUGUGGAAUACAGGAGAACGAGCAGCCAAUAUCAACUUAUGGGCAUGAAACAUUUCACCAGACACAUUGAAAAUAACAUCUGAAGCUUCCAUAUUUUCCAAAAGCAUGCCAAAAUGUGUUCCCAUGUCCGAGUCUGGGACCUGAAUUGUAUGCAAGCUCGAACACUCUAUUGUGGAGCGCACGACUCCAACAGUGCAAUUAAUCUUCAAGCAGUCAUCCUUCAAAUACUCUGAAGUCUCAAGCAAGGCUCGUCUAAAAAACCGUUUGUAUCCCCACAUGCUGCCG
This 535-nucleotide unclassified non-coding RNA is filed under the name Hevea brasiliensis (rubber tree). The record is from RNAcentral. Lineage: Eukaryota; Viridiplantae; Streptophyta; Magnoliopsida; Malpighiales; Euphorbiaceae.